This 477-nucleotide ribosomal RNA is filed under the name uncultured bacterium. RNAcentral describes it as "partial 16S ribosomal RNA". It matches the Rfam family "Bacterial small subunit ribosomal RNA", at positions 30 to 507 of the family's 1533-position model. The record is from RNAcentral.
AUGUACGCUGGCGGCGUGCCUAACACAUGCAAGUCGAACGGAGUCCAGCCUUUAAGACCUUCGGGUCAAAGAGGGGAAGACUGAGUGGCGGACGGGUGAGUAACACGUGGGCAACCUGGCUCAUAGAGGGGGAUAACAGAGAGAAAUUUCUGCUAAUACCGCAUAAGCACACACUGCCGCAUGGCAGAGGGUGAAAAGAGAAUCGCUAUGAGAUGGACCCGCGUCUGAUUAGCCAGUUGGCAGGGUAAGAGCCUACCAAAGCGACGAUCAGUAGCCGAUCUGAGAGGAUGAACGGCCACAUUGGGACUGAGACACGGCCCAAACUCCUACGGGAGGCAGCAGUGGGGGAUAUUGCACAAUGGGGGGAACCCUGAUGCAGCGACGCCGCGUGAGUGAAGAAGUAUUUCGGUAUGUAAAGCUCUAUCAGCAGGGAAGAUAAUGACAGUACCUGAAUAAGAAGCCCCGGCUAACUACGUG